This 162-nucleotide ribosomal RNA is filed under the name uncultured bacterium. RNAcentral's name for it is "partial 16S ribosomal RNA". It matches the Rfam family "Bacterial small subunit ribosomal RNA", at positions 319 to 504 of the family's 1533-position model. The record is from RNAcentral.
CCGCGGUAAUUCCGGUUACUCCUACGGGAGGCAGCAGUGGGGAAUCUUGGACAAUGGGCGCAAGCCUGAUCCAGCCAUGCCGCGUGAGUGAUGAAGGCCUUAGGGUUGUAAAGCUCUUUCGACGGGGACGCGGUACCCGUAGAAGAAGCCCCGGCUAACUUC